Herpailurus yagouaroundi (jaguarundi) is the source of this 7629-nucleotide RNA transcript. It is a transcript of the gene named RIC1 partner of RAB6A GEF complex, with no coding region annotated. Lineage: Eukaryota; Metazoa; Chordata; Mammalia; Carnivora; Felidae. The record is from RefSeq and is a predicted model, not a curated record. The transcript has 28 exons.
CUCCCCCACACUGGGCCCCGUCAGCCCAAGGGUUCCUUCGUCGCUUAGCUUCGCGUCGGCCCGGCCCGGCCCGGCCAGCGGGCAGAUGCUCCGAGCUGCCGCUGCCGACGCCGCCGACUCGGCCGGUGGCGGUGUGGGAGGCGGGCGUCCGGCCCCGGGCCGCUGAGUGUGACGGACGGGGCCGGGGGCCGCCGGGCGCCGCGGCGUCGGCGGCUCCGCGCGGACCAUGUAUUUCCUGAGCGGCUGGCCCAAGAGGCUGCUGUGCCCUCUGGGGAGCCCGGCCGAGGCGCCUAUCCACGUUCAGUCCGACCCCCAGAGGACUUUCUUCGCCGUGCUGGCCCCGGUCCGCCUCAGCAUCUGGUACAGCCGCCCUAGUGUGUUAAUUGUAACCUACAAGGAACCUGAAAAAUCAUCUUCUCAGUUUGGAUUCUACAAACAAGCUGAAUGGAGGCCAGAUAGUACCAUGAUAGCUGUGUCAACUGCAUAUGGCUACAUCUUGUUUUUUCAUAUUACAUCUACAAGAGGGGACAAGUACCUUUAUGAACCAGUGUAUCCCAAAGGAAGUCCACAAAUGAAGGGGACACCCCAUUUUAAGGAAGAACAGUGUGCUCCAGCAUUAAAUUUAGAAAUGAAGAAAAUAUUGGAUUUGCAAGCACCCAUCAUGAGUUUGCAGUCCAUGCUGGAGGAUCUCCUCGUUGCUACUUCUGAUGGACUUCUUCAUCUUAUUCACUGGGAAGGAAUGACAAACGGAAGGAAAGCUAUUAAUCUUUGCACAGUACCCUUUUCAGUAGAUCUGCAGUCGUCUAGAGCAGGUUCAUUCCUGGGUUUUGCAGAUGUGCACAUCAGAGACAUGGAAUACUGUGCCACACUUGAUGGAUUUGCUGUUGUGUUUAACGAUGGUAAAAUUGGAUUUAUUACUCCAGUGUCAAGUAGAUUUACUGCAGAGCAGCUCCAUGGAGUUUGGCCACAAGAUGUUGUUGACGGAACUUGUGUAGCAGUAAAUAACAAGUACCGACUCAUGGCGUUUGGUUGUGCAAGUGGUUCUGUACAGGUUUAUACAAUAGAUAACACCACUGGAGCUAUGCUGCUGUCUCAUAAACUAGAGCUAACAGCAAAACAAUAUCCCGAUAUUUGGAACAAAACAGGAGCUGUUAAAUUGGUCAGAUGGUCUCCUGACAAUAGUGUUGUAAUAGUGACCUGGGAAAAUGGAGGCCUAUCUUUAUGGAGUGUGUUUGGAGCCCAGCUGAUUUGUACACUUGGAGGAGACUUUGCUUAUAGGUCUGAUGGUACCAAAAAAGAUCCCCUUAAGAUCAACUCUAUGAGCUGGGGUGCAGAAGGCUAUCACCUCUGGGUAAUCAGCGGAUUUGGUGCUCAAAGUACUGAAAUUGAGUCUGACUCCAAGAGUAUAGUUAAACAGCCUGGCAUUCUGCUAUUUCAGUUCAUCAAGAGUGUACUCACUGUAAACCCUUGUAUGAGUAACCAGGAGCAAGUGCUGCUUCAGGGGGAGGAUCGAUUGUACUUGAACUGUGGAGAGGCCUCACAAACCCAGCACGCCAGGGGUUCCUCGGCGCACCCUGAGCAUAAGGCUGCUGGGGCCAAGAGCCCCUUUGCAGAUAGCGGUGUAGAGUCUCAGGGUUUAAGCACUUUGCUUGGACAUCGGCAUUGGCAUGUGGUGCAGAUUUCCAACACCUAUCUAGAGAGCAAUUGGCCUAUACGGUUUUCAGCUAUUGAUAAGCUUGGACAGAAUAUUGCUGUGGUUGGCAAGUUUGGUUUUGCACAUUACUCUUUACUCACCAAAAAAUGGAAACUUUUUGGAAACAUCACCCAGGAGCAAAAUAUGAUUGUGACUGGUGGCUUAGCCUGGUGGAAUGAUUUUGUUGUCCUGGCAUGUUAUAACAUAAGUGACCAUCAAGAAGAGCUCAGAGUUUAUUUGCGAACAUCAAAUCUGGACAAUGCCUUUGCUCACAUCACCAAAGCACAAGCAGAAACAUUACUGCUCAGUGUCUUCCGGGACAUGGUAAUAGUAUUUAGAGCCGACUGUUCAAUAUGCCUUUACAGUAUUGAAAGAAAAUCUGAUGGUCCCACCACUACAGCUGGUAUUCAGGUUCUUCAAGAAGUCUCCAUGUCGCGCUACAUUCCUCACCCUUUCCUUGUGGUGUCUGUCACUCUGACAUCAGUGAGCACAGAGAAUGGGAUCACCCUGAAAAUGCCACAGCAGGCUCGCGAUGCAGAGAGCAUUAUGCUAAAUCUCGCAGGACAGCUCAUCAUGAUGCAGAGGGACAGAUCGGGGCCUCAGAUCCGGGAGAAGGACAGUCACCCUAACCAAAGGAAGCUUCUGCCAUUCUGUCCUCCCGUUGUACUGGCCCAGUCCGUUGAAAAUGUCUGGACCACGUGCCGAGCAAAUAAACAAAAACGUCACCUUCUGGAGGCCCUGUGGCUGAGCUGUGGAGGUGCAGGGAUGAAAGUUUGGCUCCCUCUCUUCCCCAGGGAUCACCGCAAGCCCCAUUCCUUCUUGUCCCAGCGGAUCAUGCUGCCUUUCCACAUCAAUAUUUACCCCCUGGCUGUUCUGUUUGAAGACGCGUUAGUCCUUGGUGCUGUCAAUGACACUUUGCUCUAUGAUGCUUUGUACACGCGGAACAGUGCUCGGGAACAGCUGGAGGUGCUCUUCCCUUACUGUGUCGUGGAGAGGACCUCCCAGAUCUACCUCCACCACAUUCUGCGUCAGCUGCUGGUCAGGAACCUUGGGGAGCAGGCCUUGCUCUUGGCCCAGUCCUGCGCUGCAUUACCUUACUUCCCUCACGUGCUGGAGCUCAUGCUCCACGAAGUGCUGGAGGAAGAAGCUACCUCACGGGAACCCAUUCCCGACCCUCUGCUUCCCACUGUGGCAAAAUUCAUCACCGAGUUCCCCCUCUUCCUGCAGACGGUUGUUCAUUGUGCCAGGAAGACUGAAUAUGCCCUGUGGAAUUACCUUUUUGCAGCCGUUGGAAACCCCAAGGACUUGUUUGAGGAAUGCUUGAUGGCUCAGGACUUGGACACAGCUGCCUCUUACCUUAUUAUCUUACAGAAUAUGGAAGUUCCGGCAGUAAGUAGGCAACAUGCUACCCUUCUGUUCAACACAGCCCUGGAACAAGGCAAGUGGGACCUAUGUCGACACAUGAUUCGAUUCCUUAAAGCCAUUGGCUCUGGAGAAUCUGAGACCCCUCCAUCCACACCUACAGCUCAGGAACCCAGUUCAAGUGGUGGAUUUGAGUUCUUCAGGAAUCGAAGCAUCAGUUUGUCCCAGUCAGCUGAGAAUGUUCCUGCUAGUAAAUUCAGCUUACAGAAAACACUGAGUAUGCCAUCCGGCCCUUCUGGGAAAAGAUGGAGCAAAGACAGUGACUGUGCUGAGAACAUGUACAUUGAUAUGAUGCUCUGGAGACAUGCCCGGCGUCUCUUAGAAGAAGUUCGGCUGAAGGACCUCGGCUGCUUUGCAGCCCAGCUGGGCUUUGAACUCAUCAGUUGGCUGUGCAAGGAGCGCACCCGAGCCGCGCGGGUGGACAACUUUGUGCUGGCCCUGAAGAGACUCCACAAAGACUUCCUGUGGCCACUUCCCAUCACCCCAGCCUCUUCUGUCAGCUCUCCUUUCAAGAAUGGAAAAUACCGAACAGGAGAGCAGCUGCUGAAGUCUCAGUCAGCGGACCCUUUUCUAAACCUCGAGAUGGACGCUGGGGUCUCUACUGUACAGCGAAGUCAGAGCUGGCUCGGCAGCAUCGGCCCCGCCCACCAUGAGAUAGACACGGCCUCAUCCCAUGGACCACAAAUGCAAGACGCCUUCCUGUCACCUUUAUCUACUAAAGGUGAUGAAUGCAGUAUUGGUUCAGCCACAGAUUUGACGGAAAGUAGCUCCAUGGUGGACGGAGACUGGACAAUGGUGGAUGAAAACUUCUCCACACUCAGUUUAACUCAGUCGGAGCUGGAGCACAUCUCCAUGGAGUUGGCCAGUAAGGGGCCUCAUAAAUCCCAGGUCCAGCUUCGGUACUUGCUGCACAUGUUCAUGGAGGCAGGGUGUCUAGACUGGUGCAUCGUCAUAGGCCUGAUUCUCCGAGAAUCCUCAGUAAUCAGCCAGAUCCUGCUGCUCAUCCAGUCUUCGGAGGUGGAUGGAGAGAUGUUACAGAACAUAAAGACAGGGCUACACGCGGUAGACCGAUGGGCCUCUACGGAUUGUCCUGGAUAUAAGCCAUUCUUAAACAUCAUUAAGCCACAAGUACAGAAGUUCAGUGAGCUGACAGAGGAGCAGGUCCAGCCUGAAGCCUUCCAGCCAAUAACUGCGGGUAAGACUCCUGAACACACUGGGCCCCGGGCAGAGGAAAGCCGGGGCCCCUCGGGCCAUGGAAGCCUCCCCCAGGGCGAGGUCGGAGGCAGCGGUCUGGUCAGCAGGAACGAGGAGGACGCAGCCCGAGCAGAGGAGGAGGAAUCCUUUCAAGACGGGACUUACGACUGUUCUGUGUCCUAACGGCAGCGGCGUGCCAUCACCACGGGCAGUGUUAACUUGCAGCGGCAUGUGCAACUGAGGAAACUGGCCUAGCUGGACGAUUUAACCAGGGAGAGAACUCAGAGACUCUGAUUUCAAUGCGCUUCCAUUUAAGCAUCCCAGAAUGUUGUACUGUGGAUAUGGGCAAACUAAUACGUGGAAAGACCGAAGACAAGCAGUAUAUCGCAGAAGAACAAAGUCUGACAGGAUGGAUACCACCCACCUUCGAGACUUGAUCAAGACAGCAUCGUGAUGGCAAAAGACACAAACAGUCAUGGUCCUUUAACAUGUGGCUCCUCAGCACGGUGUCAAAUACCCUGCCAAGUCCUGGUGCAGAGUCUCUCGGGACAAGAUACAACCUCCCCACCACAUGCUGUGCUUCCUGCCACCUCCACCCAGCUCCUACCCACAGCUGUCCUCAAACCUCCAUGGAGGCUACAGUCUGUACAUCCAUUCCCUCUUCUCCAAACCGUGAGGCUCAUCUUCUGCCCUGUCCCGCAUUUUCUGGACGCGGUUUGGUAACGGGGGUGAGUGAAAUGCAGUCCCAGAGCAGAAGAGGAGGAGGGGGGCCUGUGUUUGCAUCCCGCUCUCUUAAAUUUCACUUUUAUUUCUGCCUUAAAUGUCCCAUCUUCCAUCACUCUAGGUUCUGAAAUGGGUGCAAAAUAAAACGAAGAGAAGCGCGGGAAGGGUCUGCGCGGCGUGCGCACGUGUGACCUGUCUCGUUCCUCGUGAGGGUCCUGAUGUCACUGAGCACCACCCGGGACACCUGCUACCCCACUGCCAGACAGGAGAGUGCCUGCUUCCUGGCAAAUAUACUAUAAACCCCCAAGGACUGAAAGGAACGCUUUCUGAAAUCCGCAUUCCGAUUCAGUUCUCCACGAUCCGAGGAGUGCAGGCCGCCUCUGCCUCAGCCACUGCGACCGCUACACGUCAACAUGGAAUCAUGACUGACGCCACCAGUGUCCAAGAGCCACGCGGCCGCUUCACGUGAUGAUGAAAACUAAACGAGGUUUCCGGGUAUUCCAGCAGGCGUUCUCCUGAGGUUUUCCUAGUAAAAUCUAACCUAGCAGGUGAUAUACUUUAAUCCUCUCCCUAUGCUUGCUAAGAUUUCCUCACUUUGGAGUCAUUUUCAGUCUCCACAGUGAAGAUUUCAGGGUUUAUUUUGUCCAGUUCCACGUGGGACAGAACUGAAAUGCCCCAUAUUUUGAUCAUCUCCUAUGAGCCUUCAUCCACUGGCCCUGAUUUAAAUACACUGGGGACCCAGUUUCCAACUGAGCUGAUUCUGGAUCAGAACCUCAUCUGCGUAUGAUGAAACCCCACCAACUCCGUUCACCUUCACAGCAGCAAAACCAUCCACUAACACGUACAGAGAAUUUAAAGGCUUAAUAUUAAAACCAAAGGAAGUAAACCCUGCAAACCACAAAGAACAGUUUAGAAUUUUCCAUCCAUCCACCCCCCGAAAAUGCCAGUAAGGACGUGAUGAUUGUAUUACAGGCACAAUGGCUGGAACACUCAAACUUCUUUCAGCUGAGCGCAAGCAACAGUGUGCAGAAGAAGCACUCUCCUGGGCUAGAUGCACAGGCUAGAUGCGUACAACUCUUUACGGCCUCCUGAAGAGACUUCCGUGGAUGGUGCGGGCCACGCACGUGGUAUUCUUACGUGCUCUCAAUCCUGACCUCCAUGAGAUGUCCUUUACUGAAUGGGUGUGGAAAGGCCCACCGUCAUCUCCGUGGAGGAAAGCACUAUAAUAAAGUCACAACUACUCUUCUGUGUGGUCCCCUAGCUGCAAAUCCUGCAGUGUGCCUAUGGGCGUUCAGUAGUUGCUUCCUAUUCUUCCCAAUUCCAAUGGAAAGAGCCACAACACAGACGCCUGACUCCACCAGCGGGGCCAGACCGGAGUCCUGGAGAGUACGGACGCCGUGCCGAGGGCAGAGCUUGCCCAGAGCCCGCUCUAACACAGGGGGGUCCGCGUGGGGUCUGCCUUCUCUCUGGACAGCUGCAGGGAGGGCAAAGGCAGGACUGUCCCUGUAAGGGCAGAACGCCGACACCAGAAUGACAAGGCCUGUGACGCUCUGCAUCAUACGUGUCCGCCACCCGAGGAGAGGGGCUCUGUCACGAACUCUGCGGCCCCAGCAGCCAGGAGGCUGAACGGUAACGGAAGGAGCCUCAUCAGAACCAGUCUUCCUCCGCCAGCUCUAAAAACACUAAUAAUACCACCACGUAUCUAUUAACCUUUGCCUCCAAUUAGGAAUCGUUCCAAAGAUCCACCACCAAGCAAUCUCUACCAGUUCUCACCUGGUGUGCGUUCUCCAAAUUCACGUUCAGCUGGUUUGAAGGCUGUGAGGAGAGGUACGACCAGAGGACUCGGGAGGACCAGGACGCAAAACUAAAACCCCAUUUCCCAUCUUCUUACCACACCAAACCUACUUUCUGCACACACGUGACUGUUUCUUUUGCUUAAGUGUUUCCAAGUAUAAGCAACACAAUUUCACAGAAUCGACUGUGGCUAAACUCCUCACAUAUUCAUAUAAAGCAUACAGGAAGAACUAUUUUUUAAAUGUCAUUUCCUUACAAAAUAGGAAGACAGGAUCAUCGUACAACCAGCCAAAAUGGAAGCCAGCACAACGUCAGGUGGGAUUUCUGUACCGCUCCUCCCAAGGAUGGGGGUAAACAUCUCGAACACUGCCCAGAUGAGGUACAGUGCGUAAAGAUAAGGAACAAACAUCCCCGAGAGGUACAAGGCAAUAAAUUUUCCUUGGGCACCUAGGGAAAAAGAGAAAGGAAUCACACAUCUUUGAAAUUCCACAGCGAGACACAGAUUUGCAUAGCACUGCUGUACCUCACACAGAACAUUUCACUCAGGGACGUUAAAAUACAAGUAAGAAUGAAAUGGAACGUAGGUAAUACAUCAUGCAUUCAUAAAUGUGAGAAUGGGAUGGGGUAUAAGGUAGAAAAUAAACAUCCGUGUGAUCUGAAAAUUUAAAAAAAACAAACAAAAAAACCCAAAACACAACACAGCAAGAAUCUUGAAACCCUAGCCCAAAAGACCAAAAAAAGAAACAAUUCCCGCAAGUCCUGUCUUAUUCAUUUUAAGGUAUUUUCCCAUUUGCAUAAAAACC